GCGAACUUGGCGGAAUGGUAGACGCAGGAGACUUAAAAUCUCCAGCCUGUAAUAGGCGUGCGGGUUCGAGUCCCGCAGUUCGCACCA
Molecule: transfer RNA, 87 nt
Filed under: Acetobacter ascendens
Lineage: Bacteria; Pseudomonadati; Pseudomonadota; Alphaproteobacteria; Acetobacterales; Acetobacteraceae
Also listed under: 1 other name
Description: tRNA-Leu
Rfam family: tRNA
About the family: Transfer RNA (tRNA) molecules are approximately 80 nucleotides in length. Their secondary structure includes four short double-helical elements and three loops (D, anti-codon, and T loops).
Source: RNAcentral